This 253-nucleotide ribosomal RNA is filed under the name uncultured bacterium. RNAcentral describes it as "partial 16S ribosomal RNA". It matches the Rfam family "Bacterial small subunit ribosomal RNA", at positions 524 to 776 of the family's 1533-position model. The record is from RNAcentral.
UACGUAGGGGGCUAGCGUUGUCCGGAAUCAUUGGGCGUAAAGCGCGUGUAGGCGGUCCGGUAAGUCCGCUGUGAAAGUCGAGGGCUCAACCCUCGAAUGCCGGUGGAUACUGUCGGGCUAGAGUGCGGAAGAGGCGAGUGGAAUUCCUGGUGUAGCGGUGAAAUGCGCAGAUAUCAGGAGGAACACCUAUUGCGAAGGCAGCUCGCUGGGACGUUACUGACGCUGAGACGCGAAAGCGUGGGGAGCAAACGGG